This 497-nucleotide ribosomal RNA is filed under the name uncultured bacterium. Its description in RNAcentral is "partial 16S ribosomal RNA". It matches the Rfam family "Bacterial small subunit ribosomal RNA", at positions 28 to 507 of the family's 1533-position model. The record is from RNAcentral.
GAUGAACGCUGGCGGCGUGCCUAAUACAUGCAAGUCGAGCGAACAGACGAGGAGCUUGCUCCACUGACGUUAGCGGCGGACGGGUGAGUAACACGUGGAUAACCUACCUAUAAGACUGGGAUAACUUCGGGAAACCGGAGCUAAUACCGGAUAAUAUAUUGAACCGCAUGGUUCAAUAGUGAAAGACGGUUUUGCUGUCACUUAUAGAUGGAUCCGCGCCGCAUUAGCUAGUUGGUAAGGUAACGGCUUACCAAGGCAACGAUGCGUAGCCGACCUGAGAGGGUGAUCGGCCACCCUGGAACUGAGACACGGUCCAGACUCCUACGGGAGGCAGCAGUAGGGAAUCUUCCGCAAUGGGCGAAGGCCUGACGGAGCAACGCCGCGUGAGUGAUGAAGGUCUUCGGAUCGUAAAACUCUGUUAUUAGGGAAGAACAAAUGUGUAAGUAACUAUGCACGUCUUGACGGUACCUAAUCAGAAAGCCACGGCUAACUACGUG